This 262-nucleotide ribosomal RNA is filed under the name uncultured Vibrio sp. Its description in RNAcentral is "partial 16S ribosomal RNA". It matches the Rfam family "Bacterial small subunit ribosomal RNA", at positions 505 to 766 of the family's 1533-position model. The record is from RNAcentral. Lineage: Bacteria; Pseudomonadati; Pseudomonadota; Gammaproteobacteria; Vibrionales; Vibrionaceae.
GUGCCAGCAGCUGCGGUAAUACGGAGGGUGCGAGCGUUAAUCGGAAUUACUGGGCGUAAAGCGCAUGCAGGUGGUUUGUUAAGUCAGAUGUGAAAGCCCGGGGCUCAACCUCGGAAUUGCAUUUGAAACUGGCAGGCUAGAGUACUGUAGAGGGGGUAGAAUUUCAGGUGUAGCGGUGAAAUGCGUAGAGAUCUGAAGGAAUACCGGUGGCGAAGGCCGGCCCCCUGGACAGAUACUGACACUCAGAUGCGAAAGCGUGGGA